Molecule: ribosomal RNA, 301 nt
Filed under: uncultured bacterium
Lineage: Bacteria
Description: partial 16S ribosomal RNA
Rfam family: Bacterial small subunit ribosomal RNA
Source: RNAcentral
CAGCCGCCGCGGGAAAACAGAGGGUGCGAGCGUUAAUCGGAUUUACUGGGCGUAAAGCGUGCGUAGGCGGCUAAUUGAGUCGGAUGUGAAAUCCCCGAGCUUAACUUGGGAAUUGCAUUCGAUACUGGUUAGCUAGAGUGUGGGAGAGGAUGGUAGAAUUCCAGGUGUAGCGGUGAAAUGCGUAGAGAUCUGGAGGAAUACCGAUGGCGAAGGCAGCCAUCUGGCCUAACACUGACGCUGAGGUACGAAAGCAUGGGGAGCAAACAGGAUUAGAUACCCCCGUAGUCCCUGUCUCUUAUAC